Non-coding RNA from Zonotrichia albicollis (white-throated sparrow), 421 nucleotides. The record is from RefSeq and is a predicted model, not a curated record. NCBI's taxonomy places the organism in Eukaryota, Metazoa, Chordata, Aves, Passeriformes, Passerellidae.
AAUAAACCCUACAUUGUCUCCUCUUUCCUGUGAUUCUGGAGGAGCCCUUUUGAAGCAUUCCCCCUCUUUGGUGGACCAUGAUAAGUUUUUUUUAUGCAGAUCAGUUCCUUCACCUGGCAUUUCUGGAGCUCCCCAGAAUUCCUACCAACACAGAUGAUACUAAAAAGGGAAGGCCAUGUGCAGGAUUUGGAGGCUGCUUGCCACUCAAAAUACAGCCAGGAGAAACCCACGUCAAGUCACAGACUUUUCUAUAGCCAAGGACUCUAUGCCUCCUAAAAAGGACUGCAGGCCUCAUCAGAUUGUGAGGGAAGGCAGAUUCACUGCAAAGACAAUCCACUGCAUGGAGACACUGCAAUGGGCUGGAAGAUUGGGAUAGAAAUACUUUUAUGAGGUUUAACAAUGGUAUAUGGAAAGUACUACA